This 480-nucleotide long non-coding RNA is filed under the name Equus caballus (horse). RNAcentral's name for it is "lncRNA (ENSECAG00000052996.1)". The record is from RNAcentral. Lineage: Eukaryota; Metazoa; Chordata; Mammalia; Perissodactyla; Equidae.
GUUUGUGCCUUGCAAGGCUUGUCAAACUCUCUCAGCUACAGCCAAAACUUAAGUAUUUUCCCAGCAGCGAAAGGCAGCUGCUCAUUUGAGGAAGCGGAGUGGGCACACGCCCCCACACUGAAGGCCGCACCUUACCAGACCCGCCCUCUGGGUGCUGGGAUGGCUGUAAAGGAGGAGGACCCAGCCAAGCAGCCAGACUCAUCCCAGCUCCGGGAAGGCUGAGUACACUGAAGGAUUCUGCAGGAAAUGACAAGAAGCUGAAGAACUGUUCCGUUGAGGGUAACAGAAAUGUUUGCCGAUGUGGCAUCAGAAACCUUGAGCCAGCCAGAGUUCCUGCGCUGUUUGAACCACGGGGAAGCGAAGGUGCCCUGCGGCGGUUAGGAAGAAGAUGGGAGCUCGCAGCGGCCGCACAGGGAAACGCCGCUGCGGAUAAAUACCAGCUCCACACCUGUUAACGCCCGAGAAUGAGCUCGCAGCAGC